RNAcentral lists this ribosomal RNA (468 nucleotides) under uncultured bacterium. Its description in RNAcentral is "partial 16S ribosomal RNA". It matches the Rfam family "Bacterial small subunit ribosomal RNA", at positions 28 to 507 of the family's 1533-position model. The record is from RNAcentral.
GACGAACGCUGGCGGCGUGCUUAACACAUGCCAGUCGAACGGAAAGGCCCUGCUUUUGUGGGUUGCUCGAUUGGCGAACGGGUGAGUAACACGUGAGUAACCUGCCCUUGACUUUGUGAUAACUUCAGGAAACUGGGGCUAAUACCGGAUAGGAUCUCCUGCUGCAUGGGGGUGGUUGGAAAGUUUCGGCGGUUGGGGAUGGACUCGCGGGUUAUCAGCUUGUUGGUGGGGUAGUGGCUUACCAAGGCUUUGACGGGUAGGCGGCCUGAGAGGGUGACCGGCCACCUUGGGACUGAGAUACGGCCCAGACUCCUACGGGAGGCAGCAGUGGGGAAUAUUGCACAAUGGGCGGAAGCCUGAUGCAGCAACGCCGCGUGCGGGAUGACGGCCUUCGGGUUGUAAACCGCUUUCGCCUGUGACGAAGCGUGAGUGACGGUAAUGGGUAAAGAAGCACCGGCUAACUACGUG